UCUCGUUUGGUGUAGCGGUCAGCAUUCUGCCCUGUCACGGCAGCGACCCGAGUUCAAAUCUCGGAGCGAGAG
This 72-nucleotide transfer RNA is filed under the name Pseudoloma neurophilia. It matches the Rfam family "tRNA". From Rfam's summary of the family: Transfer RNA (tRNA) molecules are approximately 80 nucleotides in length. Their secondary structure includes four short double-helical elements and three loops (D, anti-codon, and T loops). The record is from Rfam by way of RNAcentral. Lineage: Eukaryota; Fungi; Microsporidia.